Molecule: ribosomal RNA, 441 nt
Filed under: uncultured bacterium
Lineage: Bacteria
Description: partial 16S ribosomal RNA
Rfam family: Bacterial small subunit ribosomal RNA
Source: RNAcentral
CCUACGGGAGGCAGCAGUAGGGAAUCUUUCACAAUGGGCGAAAGCCUGAUGGAGCAACGCCGCGUGCAGGAUGAAGGCCUUCGGGUUGUAAACUGCUUUUAUAAGCGAGAAAUAUGAUGGUAACUUAUGAAUAAGGAUCGGCUAACUACGUGCCAGCAGCCGCGGUAAUACGGGGGAUGCAAGCGUUAUCCGGAUUUAUUGGGUUUAAAGGGUGCGUAGGCUGUGAGGUAAGUCAGCGGUGAAAUGCCCCCGCUCAACGGGGUGAAGUGCCAUUGAUACUGCCUUGCUGGAAUGCGGAUGCCGUGGGAGGAAUGUGUGGUGUAGCGGUGAAAUGCAUAGAUAUCACACAGAACACCGAUUGCGAAGGCAUCUCACGAAUCCGCGAUUGACGCUGAUGCACGAAAGCGUGGGUAUCAAACAGGAUUAGAUACCCUAGUAGUC